GUGGUGGCAAGGGCUCCAUCUACACCUGGGCCUCGGGUAACGGCAGUAAUAACGGAGACGACUGCGGAGCGGACGGCUACGUCGGUAGCAUCCACACCAUCUCGGUUGGUUCCAUUAAUGACAUGGGGGAGUCGGUUUACUUCAUGGAGAAGUGCGCCUCAACGAUGGCCGUCGUUCUAGCUGUCUGGAGGAAUCAGUGACAUCAAGGCCAAAGGGGAUUACAGUAAACCUCAAAAUCUGGUGAUCACAACGGACAUCCGUGAUGGUUGCAUUGAUAAUUUCAUUGGGACAUCCAGUGCAGCCCCACUAGCAGCAGGUCUCUUUGCACUGGUUCUCCAAGCUAAAUCAAUCCUUCAAGGAAUGUCCACCGUCGUCUACAUAGAUAUAAAUUGCCCCAUCACCAAACUGGAGCACACCAUCGCGAAAAUCUCCUACCAAGCCCCCCGCCGUGGCGAUGUCUCCCUGACGAUCUGGUCCCCGCAGGGCACCCCCUCCGAGCUCCUCUCGACCCGCAAGAACGACAACACCACUCAGUCAGUGGACGAGUUUCCUUUCAUGUCGUUAGGGAACUGGGGCGAGAACCCAAACGGGGUGUGGCGCCUGGAGGUUGAGCAUCACCACACCCCACCGGGGGUCCAGUCGCGGGAGGAGGACCUUCCUGAUAUUCCGAGGGGAAGUAGUAAGAGGAAAACCCAGCCGUGAACCCUGAUCUUUCAGGACAUAUUGAAGACAACGUGGUCGUUGACCUUUAUAACAAAGAGCAGCUAGAUAAUGAAGAGAUCGUUAUUGACAAGGAUAAUUUAGCCAAAGGAGUAGAAGAACCUCCAAAUACAAAACACAACUUGGACGAUGAGGAGGAUAUCGACACUGGAGAAUUUGACGGGAUCUUGAAGGAUCCUCAGGUUCGAGCUCUAUACAUCAGCAAGAGAGCCGAGAUGAGGCGAAGGUUCGAAGAGCGAAAGGAGACUAGGAGGAACGAGUUUGACGACCUGAUGACCAAUAGGGGCCAAGAGGAGAGGUCACAUGAUCAAGAGAUCAGGUCACAUGGUCAGGAAUUCAAAGUGCACGGAUGCAAUGGUCGUCUACAAAAAACAGACGGGGGCGAUGGACGCAGACGAACUGGUCAAGAUUGAAGAUACCUCCUCAAGUGAGGAUGAAGACCGACCGGCAACGAGUAGAAAGCGGACAGCGGAGUUUGGUUCACCUCCUGCUAAGCGGAUUCGAAGCCUCGCUAGCUACGACACCAAAGCUUGGAUCAAUCAAUGUAAAGAACUUACUCAAAUGCUGUGGAAUUGUCAAGACUCUGAGCCCUUCCGUUACUCAGUCGAUGAAAUGCUUUAAUCGGAUUAUCGCACCAUCAUAGACACCCCUAUGGACUUGAACACAGUCCGAGAGCAACUUGAAGGAAUGAUCUACCAAGACCCCAUGGAAUUCUGUAAAGACGUACGCCUCGUCUUCACCAACUCAAAAAGCUACACCCCAAACAAAAAAUCUAAGAAAUAAAAGCUUGAAAUCGCGCAGGAAAUCACGUCGCCCAUCCACUUAAGCCUCGUCCUCUAACAGCAAAGCCGUGUCAUCUCACAGCGAAGAAGACGAGGAGACAGAGAUCCCUACUCGUGCGGGGCCAUCCAGGGUGGGGCCAUCCAGGGUGGGGCCAUCCAGGGCAGGGUCAUCCAGGGCGGGGUCAUCUAGGGCGGGGCCAUCCAGAGAGAACUCAGCCAGCGUCGCCAGACCUAGUACUUCAAGACAGUUAAAUGCCAAAGAAAGUCCAACCAGUACCAGACUAAGUGCCAAGAACAUUCCGUCCAAGAGUAAAAACUCAGGAAAUCAACGACAUUUACAAAAAGCGUUGCAGAAAGAGUGAAGAGGCAAACGAAAUCCAGCAACACGAGGAAAGAUGAUUCGGGAGAAGAAAGUGAAGACCAAGACGAGAACAGUGAAGAAGAGGAGGAGGAGGAGGAAGAAGAAAAUGAGGAGGAUGAGGGGGAGGAAACAGACGUGGAGCAAGAAAAGAAAGAUGAAGAUGAUGAAGAUGAUGAAGAAGAUGAAGAAGAUGAUGAAGAAAAUGAAGAAGAAGAAGAAGAAGAAGAAAUUAAACCAUUAAGACCAAAACGAAACGGGAUGAGAAGAAACGUUGCUACAAGAAAUUCUGGUUCUAACUUGAGCAACGGUCACAUGAAGCGGUACUCCACAAGAAAUCAGCCAGUAGUAAGCGACAAC
Asterias rubens (European starfish) is the source of this 2220-nucleotide long non-coding RNA. RefSeq lists it as uncharacterized. The record is from RefSeq and is a predicted model, not a curated record. The transcript has 11 exons. NCBI's taxonomy places the organism in Eukaryota, Metazoa, Echinodermata, Asteroidea, Forcipulatida, Asteriidae.